UCCCUACGGGGGGCAGCAGUGGGGGAUAUUGCACAAUGGGGGGAACCCUGAUGCAGCGACGCCGCGUGGGUGAAGAAGCGCCUCGGCGCGUAAAGCCCUUUCAGCAGGGAAGAAAAUGACGGUACCUGAAGAAGAAGCCCCGGCUAACUACGGGCCAGCAGCCGCGGUAAUACGUAGGGGGCAAGCGUUAUCCGGAUUUACUGGGUGUAAAGGGGGCGUAGACGGCGAUGCAAGCCAGGAGUGAAAGCCCGGGGCCCAACCCCGGGACUGCUCUGGGAACGGCGGGGCU
Molecule: ribosomal RNA, 289 nt
Filed under: uncultured bacterium
Lineage: Bacteria
Description: partial 16S ribosomal RNA
Rfam family: Bacterial small subunit ribosomal RNA
Source: RNAcentral